Mustela erminea (ermine) is the source of this 1137-nucleotide long non-coding RNA. RefSeq lists it as uncharacterized. NCBI's taxonomy places the organism in Eukaryota, Metazoa, Chordata, Mammalia, Carnivora, Mustelidae. The transcript is spliced from 3 exons. The record is from RefSeq and is a predicted model, not a curated record.
AGGACAGAGGGGCGAGGGGUCUUUUUUUCCGCUUUGCGGUGUGCGACCAGUGCUUUGCCCAGGCAGGUUUUCUCCGGUAUCCACCCCUCUCCCAGUGUCGGGAGCGUUGGGUCCGCGCUGAGCGGCGGGUGUAGCGCAGAGGACUUGAGACCUCGUGUUCUUCAGUCUCCGGCUGAGGAAGAGUCGGGUCCUUCAUUCAAAGAACAAGAUUUGCAGAGCCCUUCCUAGCUUCAGGCUCUGACCUCAAUGCCUGGGAACCGGGUGUGAAUGAGACGGGCAGGGGUCCCGGCUUACGUUCUAAGUUGCGCGGGAAAGGCACUUAAACAGGUGACAUGGACAACGUAGGUCCAGAUGGCCUGAGUGCCAAGGAGGAAACAAAAGGAGGUUAUGUGGCGGAGCAGGCUGUUCCACAGAAACAUAGUGCGGACCACGAAUUCCAUUUUAAGUGUUUGAAAUGCCACCCCAAAAGUAAAAUAAAAAGUUAAAUUAAUUUCAGUAGUAACUUAGCAUUAAUCAAUGCAAAAUCUUUAAUGAUUAAUGAUAUAUGUUAAUGAUCUAUUUUGCUUAAAAGUCCGGCGUGUAUUUUAUACUUCCAGCACAUUUCAGUUCAAACUAGUCACAUUUCGGGUGCUGAGAAGCAGCCUGUGUGGCUGGAGCAGACUGAGGAGUCCAGAAUGGCAUAAGAUGCAGCGGAAGAGACAGUGUCUUCAGAUAGCAGAGGCAGUAUCAAGAUUUAACAUGUUACCUUUAUUCCUCUUGUCUCAGAGAUAUGGUCAAAGCCCCAAUGCCAAGAAAUGGAAGAGUAGCUGCGGACAGCUAAUUUUUUCACCCUGUGGAGCAAGCCUUCUGCGAUUGUCAGAAUGAGGUCUACACCAAGAGAGACAAAGAGGAGAGGAGAGAAAUGGUUGUGUUGUUUGAGGUCUGGCCCUAGGUCUGUGUGAUGUUAGCUCCUCUGCUAACUCCUUUUGCAUAUCAUAUAGGUUGACAUUUCCGUCAUUUAUAUCCCGACUGAUAGACUUUGAACAGAAAUAUUAGAUAACUCCCUCUUAUGAAAUAUUACCUCUUAAGCCUAAAAAUGCAGGUGAUUUUGGCAUGAUAAUAAAAAUAACUGCAAGUUAUAAAACAUCUACCAGGUGC